CUACGGGGUGCUGCAGUGAGGAACAUUGCACAAUGGAGGAAACUCUGAUGCAGCAACGCCGCGUGGAGGAUGACGCAUUUCGGUGUGUAAACUCCUUUUAUAUGUCAAGAAAAUGACGGUAGCAUAUGAAUAAGCUCCGGCUAACUCCGUGCCAGCAGCCGCGGUAAUACGGAGGGAGCAAGCGUUACUCGGAAUCACUGGGCGUAAAGGACGCAUAGGCGGGAUAGAAAGUCAGGUGUGAAAUCCUAUGGCUCAACCAUAGAACUGCACUUGAAACUUCUAACCUAGAGUAUGGGAGGGGAAGAUGGAAUUAGUGGUGUAGGGGUAAAAUCCGUAGAUAUCACUAGGAAUACCUAAAGCGAAGGCGAUCUCCUGGAACAUUACUGACGCUAAGGCGUGAAAGCGUGGGGAGCAAACAGGAUUAGAUACCCCUGUAGUC
RNAcentral lists this ribosomal RNA (439 nucleotides) under uncultured bacterium. RNAcentral describes it as "partial 16S ribosomal RNA". It matches the Rfam family "Bacterial small subunit ribosomal RNA", at positions 339 to 795 of the family's 1533-position model. The record is from RNAcentral.